CAGCAGCCACGGUAAUGCGAAGGGUGCAAGCGUUAAUCGGAAUUACUGGGCGUAAAGUGCACGCAGGCGGUCUGUCAAGUCAGAUGUGAAAUCCCCGGGCUUAACCUGGGAACUGCAUUUGAAACUGGCAGGCUAGAGUCUUGUAGAGGGGGGUAGAAUUCCAGGUGUAGCGGUGAAAUGCGUAGAGAUCUGGAGGAAUACCGGUGGCGAAGGCGGCCCCCUGGACAAAGACUGACGCUCAGGUGCGAAAGCGUGGGGAGCAAACAGGAUUAGAUACCCCAGUAGUCCCUGUCUCUUAUAC
RNAcentral lists this ribosomal RNA (301 nucleotides) under uncultured bacterium. RNAcentral's name for it is "partial 16S ribosomal RNA". It matches the Rfam family "Bacterial small subunit ribosomal RNA", at positions 509 to 807 of the family's 1533-position model. The record is from RNAcentral.